Molecule: ribosomal RNA, 447 nt
Filed under: Philodromus spinitarsis
Lineage: Eukaryota; Metazoa; Arthropoda; Arachnida; Araneae; Philodromidae
Description: partial 16S ribosomal RNA
Source: RNAcentral
AAGUAUUAUAUAGAUCUGCUCAUGAUAUUAAUAGCCGCUUGUUGUGCUAAGGUAGCAUAAUCAUUUGUCUUUUAAAUGAAGACUAGAACAAAGGAUUUAACAUUUUAAUAAAUAUUACUUAUUAAAUAAUUCUAAAUUAUCUUAAAAGUAAAAAGGCUUUUAUAAAAAAGAAAGACGACAAGACCCUAUUGAACUUAACUACUGUUAUACUGGGGUAGUAUAUAAAUAAAUAUUUUUAUUUUUUUUUUUAAAGAAAAAAGAGAUCUAGUAACAUUAAUCUAAUAAUCAAGUUACCAUAGGGAUAACAGCGUAAUUUAAUUCAAAAGAUCUUAUAUAAAAAUAAGAUUACGACCUCGAUGUUGAAUUAAUAACCUAAUUAAAGCAAAGUUUAAAAAAGGAAGUCUGUUCGACUUUUAAAAAUUUACAUGAUCUGAGUUCCAAACCGGA